RNAcentral lists this long non-coding RNA (1978 nucleotides) under Salarias fasciatus (jewelled blenny). Its description in RNAcentral is "lncRNA (ENSSFAG00005023390.1)". Lineage: Eukaryota; Metazoa; Chordata; Actinopteri; Blenniiformes; Blenniidae. The record is from RNAcentral.
AACAAAUGUAAUGUGACAUUUUUGCAGAGAGAGAAAAGGAGCACGACACUCAGAGGGAGCGAUACGAGUACAAUCUGGCCGAUGACGAGAGCGACUUCGAGCAGCAGGACGAGGAGGCAAAAGACGAGAGCGACGGCGUGGCGGAAACAGAGGGAAAGACAGAAGAGAAGUCAGAGGAUGACGACACCAAGGAGAAGAUCAUGGAGGAGCCGCGGAUUGAAGACAGAGGGAGGGAUGACGAGGAGGAAAGAGCCAAGGAGCUGGAGGAGCUGCUGGCUGCAGAGAUCACCAAGAAAGGAAACGAAGAGAAGAACGACGAGGAGCUGAAAGAGCUGCUGAAGGAGCUGAAAAAGAAACGCUACGAGGCGGUGAAGGAGAGGGAGACGCAGAAGGGCUCGGAGCAGAAGGAGGCGGAUGGAAAGAAGCCGCAGCAGGACAAAGAGAAGGAAGGAGGGGUGGCGGAGGAUGCAGAGAAGCAGAGGAUGGAGGAGCGGAGGAAGAGCGAGGUGGAGCUGAUGGUGGAGAAGGAGAAGGUGGAGAAGGAGCUGAAGGAGCUGCUCAAAGAGCAGGACAGCAAGAGCAAGCCGGAGCAGGAGAGGGAGAGGAAGGAGAAGCAGGAGGAGCUGGACGAACUGGUCAGGAAGAUGAAACGGGUGCAGGAGGAGGAGGAGGAGCAGGAGGAGGAGGUGCCGGGUGAGAAGGAGGAGGCUGCUGCAGGAGGAAACGAGGAUCAGAAGAAAAACGAGGGUGAAGAAGAGAAGGAGCCCGGCGAGAAAGAGGAGAAUGAAGUCCAAAAGAAGGAGGGAGCGGCCGAGGAGGUGAAGGAGCCGCAGCAGAAGAGAAUGAUGGAGAAGGCCAGCGACGAGGCCACGCGACAGUUUGAACGCGAGAGAUUUAAGGAGGAGGAAGAGGAGCAAGAGGAGGGAAACGGAGAGGAUGAGGAGGAUGAGGAGGAUGAGGACGAGUACGUCAGAGAGGAUGAGGAUGGACAAGACGGGGAGGAAGACCAAGUCAACGAAGAGGACGAUGCAGAAGAAGAUGAAGGGGAGGAGCUGCUGGAGAUUGAAGCUGAGCUACGCAAAGUCGCUGCAGAGCUGAGGGAGCUUCGCCGAGGAUGAGACACACACACACACACACACACACACACACACACACACACACACACACACAGACACACACACUGCAGACUGACAGAUACCCUUUGUUGCAUUCACACUCACACAUUCCCCAUUUAAACGCCUUGGAGUCCCUGCAGCACUCAGAGGAAAAUGUCUUUAGAUGUGAAUCUGUAAAUGGACAUAAGUAGAAGUCGUACAUGCCGUUGUGUCAUUUCUACUUUCAGACUUUCCCGGGUGAAGCUGUCACUGUUUCGUUGCGAGCGUGCACUUUAGCGCCGAGAAAAAAGAGGCAGAGUUUUCCCGGGGGGGGUUCUCAAAGUUUGCGUCCAUCGCCGUCUCAGUACCUAUGAAACAUGUUUGUGAGGUGGACAGGUGAUUUCACUGCAGCUGUAAAGGGAUGCAGAGCAUUCAGCACUUGCAUUGAAAUUCCCCUACUAUCCUACCAGUUAAUAUCUGUAAUUGAAUAUAUAUUUUGUGCAAUAACUGAUAGCCACUACAAGUGUAAGCUGUUCCUGCUGUUCCGACUGUUAAUAACAUGUUCUACUGAUCUUUCUACACAGGAGUAAGUCGAUAUCUGCUCUUCAUUUCUUUGAUGAGAAAAAAAAAAAAGUAGAGAUGAGGAUUGUGUUUCAUUUGGCUCACGCACUGUUAAAACCAGACUGUUUGUAAAUGAACCGGGGUGGCACAAGCAACACGCUGUUCAAUCCGCGCACCGACGCGCGCGUCAGGUGUCAACUUUGUCUUUUUCACGUGGUGGCGGCAGGAUGCGAUGCGCUUAGAGCUUAUAAGGUCUAAAAGUGUCACCUCAGGUUCUCAGCCAGCUUUGCACUCUUAUCUUAACAAGCCAAGGAGGAGGAGAU